RNAcentral lists this ribosomal RNA (253 nucleotides) under uncultured bacterium. RNAcentral's name for it is "partial 16S ribosomal RNA". It matches the Rfam family "Bacterial small subunit ribosomal RNA", at positions 524 to 776 of the family's 1533-position model. The record is from RNAcentral.
UACGUAGGGCGCAAGCGUUGUCCGGAAUUAUUGGGCGUAAAGAGCUCGUAGGCGGUUUGUCGCGUCUGUCGUGAAAGCUUGGGGCUUAACCCCAAGUCUGCGGUGGAUACGGGCAGACUAGAGGCAGGUAGGGGAGAACGGAAUUCCCGGUGUAGCGGUGAAAUGCGCAGAUAUCGGGAGGAACACCUGUGGCUAAGGCGGCUCUCUAGUACGGUACUGACGCUGAGACGCGAAAGCGUGGGGAGCGAACAGG